UCUAGCUUUCUGUUCUUCCUUUAGUUUUUCGAUGCAUUCUUCCAGCUCCAACUAUCAAAACAGGUGAAAUGAAAUUUAUCACAAAAUGUCAGACUAACAUGCAAUAAAAAACAACUAGCAAACAGCAUUCCAAAUUCAUUCUUCAAAAAUACAAGACAGAGGUCUACCAGUACAUAACUCUAGGAUGCAAAAUAUUAAGACAGAGUAGAAGUAAGUGUGAUUCACUUAACAGAUUUGUAGGAUUGCAAUAGAUCACAUGAAAUUACAGCCCAAAUCUCUUUAUCCUAUGACAUAACCAUCAAGAAUGUAUGCUCUUUUCUAUUUCCCCUUCACUUUUUCAAGCAUCAUUUUUAACUAAAUAUAUUAUCAAAAGCUCAAAUGGGGCUCUAAUAAGAAAUCUGUAACACCCAUAUCUAGUUUUCCAACUAUAACUCUUUAUCCAGGAUUUUAUUCCUUCUUACAGCUGUACGAAUACAAAAUUCUGAAGAACUGUAGUCUCAAAAGUAAGAAUACAAAACUCUGAAGGCAUCCACCCACUAAAAACAAAACCAUUAUGUGAGAGAAACAGUACCUGAAUCUCCAAUGGCAGUUCUCCAGCACAUUCCACUGCCCCACCUCUGAAGUUAGGGGAAAAAAGAACAAAACCAUACUUCUGAGAAAAGAUUUACAGAUUUUUUAGAUGAUGAUCCUGUAUUGAAGAGCAAGAUCAGAAGAAAAGAGAAUUCAUUAUACCUUAUUAUUCACAUACAAAUUCACAGCUUCCUGUUCAUAAAAUUUCCAAUGUAAUAAAAAGGACUGUAGGAAAUCUGC
Molecule: long non-coding RNA, 810 nt
Organism: Parus major (Great Tit)
Lineage: Eukaryota; Metazoa; Chordata; Aves; Passeriformes; Paridae
Exons: 3
Source: RefSeq, a predicted model, not a curated record